GACAGUCGAGGCCGUUGCCAACCAUGUUGCAGCGAUCGGAGCAACGACCUCUAGAAACGCUGCUUCAGAUUUCGCAUAGAUUCGCAGCAUCAGGACGCUGGCCACGCACAGAAAAUAUCAGGGGUGAUCGGAACACAAGUGGGAUUGAUCGGUACCACGCCUUUUGGAAUGAUCACUCUCAAAGGCGUCUGUUUUGUCACGUGCAUAACUCUUGCGAAACGUCAUUCACGAUGGUAUAAUUCCUACUGAUUGUCGUUAUAAACAAGGCAGCGGUGAGCUUUAAAGAUACGGGGUUAAUAUUCUUAAGUUUGAAGGCAUUUCGGCGAGUUCGUAGACACGAGUUAAAGAUUUCGUCAACGAAUCUCGUUGUGCAGGAAUCCUGCAAUUCUCGAAGGCUAUUCGAAUCUCAGCAAGUAAAUUGAUUGUGUUUUUGGGAGCAAAUCACAUUACCCCCUGUUGAACAGAACAAAUCUGAAGCUUUGUAGUGGCAAGCUUAUCCUGAAUGACAUCAGUUUUGCCCUACGAUACACUAGGGCUGAGAUUGUACGAGUCUUUUUGCAAUCUGUGUGGAAAGAAUUUCUCUUGAGCUUCUCUUCUAGAUAUUGAAAACUUAGGCAUGAGGUGCUUUAAAUCUAGACUUUCUUGCAUCAAGUCCUUCAAUUAUUGCCACCAAGAAUCCAUUCCAGAUGGGACAAUGGAGAGUGUGAAAUUUAAAAAUCAAUAUUCAUCCAAAUGAGAAAUUUGGUGGAGUUAUUUUAUUUUUA
Molecule: non-coding RNA, 764 nt
Organism: Physcomitrium patens
Lineage: Eukaryota; Viridiplantae; Streptophyta; Bryopsida; Funariales; Funariaceae
Source: RefSeq, a predicted model, not a curated record